GCCCCGGUAGCUCAGAAGAUAGAGCGACUGCCUUCGAAGCAGUGGGUCGAGGGUGCAAUUCCUUCACGGGGUA
This 73-nucleotide transfer RNA is filed under the name bacterium. RNAcentral's name for it is "tRNA-Arg". It matches the Rfam family "tRNA". From Rfam's summary of the family: Transfer RNA (tRNA) molecules are approximately 80 nucleotides in length. Their secondary structure includes four short double-helical elements and three loops (D, anti-codon, and T loops). Further hydrogen bonds mediate the characteristic L-shaped molecular structure. tRNAs have two regions of fundamental functional importance: the anti-codon, which is responsible for specific mRNA codon recognition, and the 3' end, to which the tRNAs corresponding amino acid is attached (by aminoacyl-tRNA synthetases). tRNAs cope with the degeneracy of the genetic code in two manners: having more than one tRNA (with a specific anti-codon) for a particular amino acid; and 'wobble' base-pairing, i.e. permitting non-standard base-pairing at the 3rd anti-codon position. The record is from RNAcentral.